GAUGAAGAACGUAGUGAAAUGCGAUAAUUAAUGUGAAUUGCAGAAUUCAGUGAAUCAUCGAGUCUUUGAACGCACAUUGCGCCCCCUGGUAUUCCGGGGGGCAUGCCUGUCCGAGCGUCAUUGCUGCCCUCAAGCACGGCUUGUGUGUUGGGCUUCCGUCCCUGGCAAGGGGGACGGGCCCAAAAGGCAGUGGCGGCACCAUGUCUGGUCCUCGAGCGUAUGGGGCUUUGUCACCCGCUCCCGUAGGUCGAGCUGGCAGCUAGCCUCGCAACCAAUCUUUUUAACCAGGUUGACCUCGGAUCAGGUAGGGAUACCCGCUGAACUUAAGCAUAUCAAUAAGCGGAGGA
RNAcentral lists this unclassified non-coding RNA (347 nucleotides) under soil metagenome. Its description in RNAcentral is "partial contains 5.8S ribosomal RNA, internal transcribed spacer 2, and large subunit ribosomal RNA". The stretch from base 1 to 120 matches the Rfam family "5.8S ribosomal RNA", at positions 35 to 154 of the family's 154-position model. The record is from RNAcentral.